GGCCUGAUGGUCUAGUAGUAUGAUUCCUUGUUAGGGUUUUCUGUCCUAUUAUCGAGGAGGUCCCGGGUUCAAUUCCCGGUCAGGCCC
Amanita rubescens is the source of this 87-nucleotide non-coding RNA. The record is from the annotation of a GenBank genome assembly. Lineage: Eukaryota; Fungi; Basidiomycota; Agaricomycetes; Agaricales; Amanitaceae.